RNAcentral lists this long non-coding RNA (569 nucleotides) under Homo sapiens (human). RNAcentral's name for it is "HSALNT0346705". The record is from RNAcentral. Lineage: Eukaryota; Metazoa; Chordata; Mammalia; Primates; Hominidae.
CUGGAGAUUGAUAUGGUUUGGCUCUGUGCCCCUACCCAAAUCUCAUGUUGACUUGUAAUCCCCAGUGUGGGGGGAGGGACCUGGUGAGAGGUGAUUGGAUCAUGUGGGCAGAUGUCCCCCUUGCUAUUCUUGUGAUACUGCGUGAGUUCUCAUGAGGUCCGGGUUUUUGAAAAUAUGUAGCACCUCUCCCUCUGCUCUCUCUCCCCUGCUCUGCUAUAUGAAGAUGUACUUGUGUCCCUUUGCCCUUCCAGCAUGAUUGUAGGUUUCCUGAGACCUCCCCAACCACUCCUUCUUACAGCCUGCAGAACUGAACUUUACUGCAUGACAUUGAGAAUCACAACUCUGUUUAACUCUAGGAAAUCUCAGUUAUAUUCUACAGGAAAGGCACCCACUGAAAUACCUAAAGAUGCAAGAUGGCUGAUGUUUUGUUACAAUAGUUUUUUCUAUUUAAUAAAGCAUUUACCAGAUGUUUUUCUACCAACAUAAAUAAAUAAACCAAUAAAACUCCUAUUGUUUUACAAAUGUGUUGUUUUCAGGAAAAAGAAAUUAAAUAAGUAUUAUGAAAUGAG